RNAcentral lists this long non-coding RNA (329 nucleotides) under Olea europaea subsp. europaea. Lineage: Eukaryota; Viridiplantae; Streptophyta; Magnoliopsida; Lamiales; Oleaceae. The record is from RNAcentral.
AAGAAGUAGAAGUUUAUGGUACUUCUUGCAUUGGAUGCUUGGAACAACAAUAUGUUUGGUUGGAAUUAUAAAUGUCUACACAGGAUUACUUGCAUACCAUAAGAGAACAUCAAAGGGUACAAGCCUUUGGAGCAUAAUUUUCACAGCUCAAGUUUCUUUUAUGGCAAUUUUUUACCUUUUUCAAGAUAAAUGGGACUACUUGAAAAGGCAAGGGAUGAUACCAAUGGAUGCAACCUCACAACCUCUGAAUCAGACUCAAAUGGAUAAUUUAAAUGAGGCAUGUAGAAAAAACAAUGCACUUGGAACUCACUUUUCAAGGAGAAAUGCAC